Molecule: ribosomal RNA, 253 nt
Filed under: uncultured bacterium
Lineage: Bacteria
Description: partial 16S ribosomal RNA
Rfam family: Bacterial small subunit ribosomal RNA
Source: RNAcentral
UACGUAGGGUGCAAGCGUUGUCCGGAAUUAUUGGGCGUAAAGAGCUCGUAGGCGGUUUGUCGCGUCGAAUGUGAAAACCCGGGGCUCAACCCCGGGCCUGCAUUCGAUACGGGCAGACUAGAGUUCGGUAGGGGAGUCUGGAAUUCCUGGUGUAGCGGUGAAAUGCGCAGAUAUCAGGAGGAACACCGGUGGCGAAGGCGGCUUCCUGGACCGACACUGACGCUGAGGCGCGAAAGCUAGGGGAGCAAACGGG